RNAcentral lists this ribosomal RNA (254 nucleotides) under uncultured bacterium. Its description in RNAcentral is "partial 16S ribosomal RNA". It matches the Rfam family "Bacterial small subunit ribosomal RNA", at positions 524 to 777 of the family's 1533-position model. The record is from RNAcentral.
UACGUAGGGGGCAAGCGUUGUCCGGAUUUAUUGGGCGUAAAGAGCGUGUAGGCGGCCAUACAGGUCAGCUGUGAAAACUCGAGGCUCAACCUCGAGACGUCGGUUGAAACCGUACGGCUAGAGUCCGGAAGAGGAGAGUGGAAUUCCCGGUGUAGCGGUGAAAUGCGCAGAUAUCGGGAGGAAUACCAGUGGCGAAGGCGGCCUUCUGGACGGAUACUGACGCUGAGGCGCGAAAGCCAGGGGAGCAAAGCGGG